UGAAACGUCCAAGUCGUCCGUUUCACAAACUACACCGAUAAGUAAACCAUCAGGGUCCUUAUUGCCAGUUUUACGUAAACCUGAAGAUGUUUUUAAAAAGUGCUGGACAUUUGAAGAGAGAUGAUAUUGAUGAUGAUCCACUCUUACAGGAAAUCGUAUCACUGUUACCACUUGGUGAUUUUAACAGUUUCAACAAAGUGGAGGAAUAUUUGAGCACCGCAAACAAUUUGAAGUCAUUUGUCAUUUGCGCGAUAUUUAAGUCGUACUGGAGGGGAAUCGCCUGAAUUAAUGGCCA
Molecule: long non-coding RNA, 295 nt
Organism: Zophobas morio
Lineage: Eukaryota; Metazoa; Arthropoda; Insecta; Coleoptera; Tenebrionidae
Exons: 3
Source: RefSeq, a predicted model, not a curated record